RNAcentral lists this ribosomal RNA (465 nucleotides) under Vreelandella stevensii. RNAcentral's name for it is "partial 16S ribosomal RNA". It matches the Rfam family "Bacterial small subunit ribosomal RNA", at positions 338 to 795 of the family's 1533-position model. Lineage: Bacteria; Pseudomonadati; Pseudomonadota; Gammaproteobacteria; Oceanospirillales; Halomonadaceae. The record is from RNAcentral.
CCUACGGGGGGCUGCAGUGGGGAAUAUUGGACAAUGGGGGGAACCCUGAUCCAGCCAUGCCGCGUGUGUGAAGAAGGCCCUCGGGUUGUAAAGCACUUUCAGUGAGGAAGAACGCCUGGUGGUUAAUACCCAUCAGGAAAGACAUCACUCACAGAAGAAGCACCGGCUAACUCCGUGCCAGCAGCCGCGGUAAUACGGAGGGUGCGAGCGUUAAUCGGAAUUACUGGGCGUAAAGCGCGCGUAGGUGGCUUGAUAAGCCGGUUGUGAAAGCCCCGGGCUCAACCUGGGAACGGCAUCCGGAACUGUCAAGCUAGAGUGCAGGAGAGGAAGGUAGAAUUCCCGGUGUAGCGGUGAAAUGCGUAGAGAUCGGGAGGAAUACCAGUGGCGAAGGCGGCCUUCUGGACUGACACUGACACUGAGGUGCGAAAGCGUGGGUAGCAAACAGGAUUAGAUACCAUGGUAGUC